This 497-nucleotide ribosomal RNA is filed under the name uncultured bacterium. RNAcentral's name for it is "partial 16S ribosomal RNA". It matches the Rfam family "Bacterial small subunit ribosomal RNA", at positions 28 to 507 of the family's 1533-position model. The record is from RNAcentral.
GAUGAACGCUGGCGGCGUGCCUAAUACAUGCAGGUCGAGCGAACAGACGAGGAGCUUGCUCCUCUGACGUUAGCGGCGGACGGGUGAGUAACACGUGGAUAACCUACCUAUAAGACUGGGAUAACUUCGGGAAACCGGAGCUAAUACCGGAUAAUAUAUUGAACCGCAUGGUUCAAUAGUGAAAGACGGUUUUGCUGUCAGUUAUAGCUGGAUCCGCGCCGCAUUCGCUAGUUGGUAAGGUAACGGCUUACCCAGGCGACGAUGCGUAGCCGACCUGAGAGGGUGAACGGCCACACGGGAACUGAGACACGGUCCAGACUCCGACGGGAGGCAGCGGUAGGGAAUCUUCCGCAAUGGGCGAGAGCCUGACGGAGCAACGCCGCGUCAGUGAUGAAGGUCUUCGGAUCGGAAAACGCUGUUAGUAGGGAAGAACAAAUGUGUAAGUAACUAUGCACAUCUUGACGGUACCUAAUCAGAAAGCCACGGCUAACUACGUG